AGUAGUGAUGGCAAUCUGAGCUGUGACUCCUGUCACUCACUGGCUGCCAAGAUUGAUCUGGCUGAUCUGACUGCUAGACCAGUGUCUCCCUCUAUUCUCCCCCCUCUGUGUGUUCCCCUGAACUUGGACUCCCCAUGGGAAAGGAUAGCUUUUCCUGAUAAAGAAGGACCAUUCUUCUGACAUAGUUGUGUUCUUUUUGUAGGACCUCUAACUAAGCUCUCACGGUUCAUUUGCAGGAGAAAGUGAAGUGCUAGAGCCUCCAAGAUUCCAGACAUAUCUAAACAAGGUGCUACAGAUGGCAAUAAGUAAAAUGGGGCAUGCUGUCACCU
Molecule: unclassified non-coding RNA, 329 nt
Organism: Cavia porcellus (domestic guinea pig)
Lineage: Eukaryota; Metazoa; Chordata; Mammalia; Rodentia; Caviidae
Gene: 7SK
Rfam family: 7SK RNA
About the family: 7SK was discovered as an abundant small nuclear RNA in the mid-70s but a possible function has only recently been suggested.
Source: Ensembl